ACGCUCGACACCUACGGGGGGCAGCAGUGGGGAAUAUUGCACAAUGGGGGAAACCCUGAUGCAGCGACGCCGCGUGGAGGAAGAAGGUCUUCGGAUUGUAAACUCCUGUUGUUGGGGAAAAANAGGAUGGUACCCAACAAGGAAGUGACGGCUAACUACGUGCCAGCAGCCGCGGUAAUCUGAGCGGGCUGGCAAGGC
This 198-nucleotide ribosomal RNA is filed under the name uncultured bacterium. Its description in RNAcentral is "partial 16S ribosomal RNA". It matches the Rfam family "Bacterial small subunit ribosomal RNA", at positions 328 to 539 of the family's 1533-position model. The record is from RNAcentral.